Coregonus clupeaformis (lake whitefish) is the source of this 1824-nucleotide long non-coding RNA. RefSeq lists it as uncharacterized. NCBI's taxonomy places the organism in Eukaryota, Metazoa, Chordata, Actinopteri, Salmoniformes, Salmonidae. The record is from RefSeq and is a predicted model, not a curated record. The transcript is spliced from 4 exons.
UUUGUCCGUGUGAGAAGGUCUGUGUCUGAAUUACUAUACUUAAUUUAUCUUACCUAAAAGAUCGCUCAAAUAUUUUGAAGAUGUAAUGAUAUUUAGAAUGUUACUGCAUAUUCCUACAGGACAUUGAUGAUGCUCUCCAGAAGAAUGGAAUCAGGAGGGACAUUGAUGUCUGUCAACUUUACCUUGCCAGAAAAGUAGUCUUAUCAUAACUUCUAACUAUGGAAUCUAUAACUUAAGAAUUUCAAAUGAGGCCCUAUUCAUUGAAAGGCUGUAGAUGUGAUGUGACCUGGAAAUUAUAAUUUGUUGGAAAAUAUAAAUCAUGUCAGUAUAUGCCAGUAUUAUGUUACAUAAAAUGCUUUUAUGCAAAUUAACGAAAUUUUAGUAUAGAGGACUCGUCAAUAUUCCAGACUUGUCAAGAUUCUUCGUGCUGAGAUACUUAUGGCUGAAUAACAACAAGGUACUGUAGCCAACAUCACAAACAGAUAAUGAUACUGUGUACAGUUAUAUUAAAUGUGGGAAUGUGUGACACUAACACUAGGCAGCUCAUGACAGAAUAGCCAAGAAUGGAAAAAAAUUAUAAUUUCCCAUUUCCAAUUCAUAAUGUUCAGUAAAUGUUUAAAAUUAACGAACUCUCCUACCAUUCCCUUAACUGUUGCAUGACAGAACUUUACCUCCAAAAUAAUAAAAUCAAAUCUAUUUCAGGUAAAUAUUACGAUCUUUGUUUUCCUAAGCAUAUGCUAUAACAUUGCAUUGCAUUGCAUUUCUUCUGUGUGAGUUUGUCUUGCUGUGGAUCUGUGUUUUAGCAAGGUUUUUCUUAUAACAAAUUGCAUCAAGAUGAUAUUCAGCGCAUCCUCAAGCGCAGAAAUGCCUGUCCUGUCUUUAUAGCCUGUUCCCAGAUCUGUUUGUGCUCUUGCCAACUCCAUUGCAGUCAUUGUCAAGACAAGUUCGGCAUGAAAAUUCCACAUGGAGUUAAGAGAGCAGAAACAGGCUGGCACCCAGGCUACUGUCUUUACUGUAUGUUUUCCAUUCCCAGGCGCCCUGGGACACCUAACCUGUCUUAGGAUUCUUCUUCUGCACAACAACCAGAUGAAGAGGCUGGAGGACUGCGUGGCUGAGCUGAGGAACUUGCAGCAUCUCCACACUGUCACUUUAUUUCCUGAAUCGCUUCUCACAAAAGACUGGAUGUCGUCACUAUGUGGUCCAUAACUUGCCGUCAGUGCAGUUAUUGGAUAGAAGAGUCCCUGGCAUUUGGCAGGCGGGCAGAGACUCCUGCCAGCAGAGAGACUGGCAUCUAUGGGGAGGGACGACACCUUACUCACGGAGCCCAUUCGAUGAGACAGCAGAUCCGAGUGUGCGCAGGACCAUGCAGAGAUCUAUCAUGCAGUUCUCCACUGUGGACUGGAGGGCCAUCCCCACCACCAAAGGAAUGGAGACCAGCCAGGGGCCAACAUCCUCACUGUCAUGUUCAGAUAACAGCACCAGCAACACAAGGGGUGAUUCUCAAUUGUAUUUAACAGAUUCUGCAUGUCCUCUUUCCUUGGCUUCUUCUAAAAACGCAUUGGAGAAGAUCCCAGGGGAGGAACCUCAGAUCUUCUGCUCCAAUAUGCUUUGAGAAGAGGAGGAGGAUGUGAGGAAAUACAAUUGAGAUUCACGCCUGGAGGUCAUCCCACUGUGGUGCCAUGCUGUAUGAGCCUGUAGAGGGAGCUCUAGCUGAAUUAAACCAGUCAAUAGAAUCACAGUUUCCUCAUUACUACUAUACAACAAACAAACGCCCCAGUUCAAUGUUACACAGCACAGGAUGAACUUGAGGAAGAACUCCGGAAC